AGUCUGAUGGAGCAACGCCGCGUGAGUGAAGAAGGGUUUCGGCUCGUAAAGCUCUGUUGGUAGUGAAGAAAGAUAGAGGCAGUAACUGGCCUUUAUUUGACGGUAAUUACUUAGAAAGUCACGGCUAACUACGUGCCAGCAGCCGCGGUAAUACGUAGGUGGCAAGCGUUGUCCGGAUUUAUUGGGCGUAAAGCGAGUGCAGGCGGUUCAAUAAGUCUGAUGUGAAAGCCUUCGGCUCAACCGGAGAAUUGCAUCAGAAACUGUUGAACUUGAGUGCAGAAGAGGAGAGUGGAACUCCAUGUGUAGCGGUGGAAUGCGUAGAUAUAUGGAAGAACACCAGUGGCGAAGGCGGCUCUCCGGUCUGCAACUGACGCUGAGGCUCGAAAGCAUGGGUAGCGAACAGGAUUAGAUACCCUGGUAGUCCAUGCCGUAAACGAUGAGUGCUAAGUGUUGGGAGGUUUCCGCCUCUCAGUGCUGCAGCUAACGCAUUAAGCACUCCGCCUGGGGAGUACGACCGCAACGUUGAAACUCAAAGGAAUUGACGGGGGCCCGCACAAGCGGUGGAGCAUGUGGUUUAAUUCGAAGCAACGCGAAGAACCUUACCAGGUCUUGACAUCCAGUGCAAACCUAAGAGAUUAUGAGUU
This 644-nucleotide ribosomal RNA is filed under the name Lactobacillus gasseri. RNAcentral describes it as "bacterial SSU rRNA". It matches the Rfam family "Bacterial small subunit ribosomal RNA", at positions 380 to 1015 of the family's 1533-position model. The record is from RNAcentral. Lineage: Bacteria; Bacillati; Bacillota; Bacilli; Lactobacillales; Lactobacillaceae.